RNAcentral lists this ribosomal RNA (651 nucleotides) under Triticum aestivum (bread wheat). Its description in RNAcentral is "partial small subunit ribosomal RNA". Lineage: Eukaryota; Viridiplantae; Streptophyta; Magnoliopsida; Poales; Poaceae. The record is from RNAcentral.
ACCCGUUUCGUACGCUCGCUUUGGACAGUUCACACAAAGUUUAAGGAAGUCUUUCUAUGUUUGCGCAAGUUAGCAAAAGAUAUCAUCAAACCGAGAGAUCCUACAUUUAGCUAUGAGCAUGAAAAGAUUAGAGAAGAACGUUUCUGGCCUUAUUUCAAAGGCGUUAUUGGUGCCAUAGAUGGAUCUCAUGUGCCAGUGAUAGUGCCUACAUAUGACGUGGUUAACCAUAGAUGUCGACAUGGUUUUAUGUCUCAGAAUGUGCUUGCAAUAUGUGACUUUCACAUGAGGUUUACCUUUGUGGUUGCGGGUUGGCCGGACUCUGCACAUGACUCAAGGAUCCUGAAUCAUGCAUUAGCACACUUAUCUUCAUUUCCUGUACCUCCCAAAUGGAAAUACUAUCUUGUGGACUCUGGGUAUGCAAACCGAAUAGGAUAUCUUGCUCCUUUUAAGGGGAGUACGUACCAUCUACCAGAAUUCCAUCUUCAUCGUCACUGUCCACCUCAAGGGAAGUAUGAGUUGUUCAACUUUUCACAUUCGUCCCUCCGCAAUGUCGUUGAGCGUGCUUUUGGGGCGCUCAAGCAGAAAUGGCGCAUAUUGAAAGGGGUCCCAAGUUUCUCACCUUGUAUGCAAAAGCAUAUCAUCAUUGCUUGC